Molecule: long non-coding RNA, 1954 nt
Filed under: Homo sapiens (human)
Lineage: Eukaryota; Metazoa; Chordata; Mammalia; Primates; Hominidae
Description: non-protein coding lnc-WNT2-4:1
Source: RNAcentral
GCCAACCUGACAAAGGCUGCAGAAAAUGAAGUUCCUUCAUAGGAACGAAAACAUUAGAAACUGAGCCCUGAAAUUCAGGAGCCAGUCAAACCUCUUGAGUUUUUAUUGAAGAAUCCAAGUUUACAUCAAUAAAUACCUCAGAUGAAAAUAAUGAUCAGAACUUUGAGUUACGGGAUAACAUAAACAUUCCCUCCAAUUUAUUGCAAAUCUACUGAGACUUUGGAAGUGAUCAAGUAACUGGGAAAGAUUUUAUGGAUAUUGCUAGUGGAGUGAAAGAAAAUGAAUUAGAAGCUCUUAUAUCAAUUUUAGGCAAUCUUCUUUCACUUGUUUCUACUCCUCAACCUGUAGAGAACUCCUUGUUAGUACACAAAUUGGGAAGAUAAAAUUAAUUUAUUAAAUAGUGAGAAAUGUUCUUUGAUGGAGCAAAUUAGAAGACCUAAAAUGGCCAUCCUCAAAAAUGAACACUUUGCCAUUUGGUAGUUUGUGAUUCCAUUCAACCUUCUUUGGAAUCCCUACAAGACUCUGAAGAAAAUGAACAGAUUUCAGUCAUAAACAGUUCAGGCAAGGAAAGAAAAAAAAAAAAGGAUAUUCAUCUUUCAAAACCAGAUAAUGUUGAUUCCGAGAAUUCCCCAGUCCCUUCCCUUAGGAGAGAAAGGAAAGAAUGCUGUUUUCUCCAUCAAGUAAAAGCACAGUUCACUUUGAUAAACCCCACAGGAAACUGUCUUCUGCUUUCCACUAUGCACUACUUUCUUUUUGUCAAGUGUCAGGAGAUGCUGCUUAGGAUCAGAAGUGUCUCUGACUGCAGUGAAAAACACCUUCUGCUGAUGCUUGGAUAUUGCUUGCUAUACAUUGCACUUGACGUGCUGCUGGCAAAGACAGAGACACUGAUGCCCUCAGAUUGUAUACAACGUGCCUACAUCUUGAAUCUAAAAAGAAAAAUCAGCUUCUCCACAUUCUUUCUAGUAUGAUCAAGAGGCCAGAUAAAGAGCCAAGGCAAGUGAUACUAACUGGUGUUACGGCAUUCACACAUCAUGUCGGACCAACACAUGCAGAAGCCGAACAUUUACCACAGUGAUGGGAAGAGGUGAGUCACAAAGACCCAAAAAGGACACUACUUGUAGCUAAAUCCUGUGGAGUAGUGGUGCCUUACUUUCCUCAAGAAGUUCCUAACUCCCUGGUCCUCCUUAAAUGGAAGGUAAAGCAUAUUUGAUAUGAGAAGCUGUGAUCAAAAGCCUUGGUAUCAUUAUGGGAUACCCUGAUGAACCAGGCAAGUAUCAGCAGGUUUUUGAAUUGUUGCCUUUGGCCUUGAGUGAUAUCUCAGAAAAAGUAGUGAGUGCAAAACAUCUAGUACUUUUAAUGGCCUAUGAUACUUGGAAUAUGGAAUUUGGAAAUGUACAAUCUUACACCUACAUUGCUGAAUAAGACUGAAAAACUUAUCAGGGAAAGAGAACAAAGGGAAGGAGGGCUGGAUGAACAUAAGCUUCACAUGUAUCUUUCUGCCUUGCAAUCCUUGACUGUGUCACUCUUUGCAUUAAUGGUACAGAAUGUACCUUUCUCAAGCAAAGACAAGCUCCAUGGUGAAGUACCACAGGUGGAAGUGACUGGGUUCCCUCAGCCUAUGUCACCUCUUCAAGAUGUGUUUAUUACUGGAAGUCAGAAGCAAUUGGUAGUGCUACUUCAGUUUUAUAAUUACCAUCUAGAACAUGAGGGUACAACGUGAGAGUUUACUGUGGGUUGUCAAUCAUUACCACAAUUUACAGAAAUAGAUGGCAAAAUUAAUGUUACUUCACCUGCUUAUGUCCAUGAAUUCUCCAGAUUGUUCUAGUGCCUUUGCUGAACAUUUGGCAACAUGUUUUCAAACACUAAGGUAAAACUUGAGUUCCAGGAGAUUUUAAAACUGUCUGAAGAAAACAAUUCCUUAACAGGAAAUAGAGUCCUCACCAAAGCAGCUAUA